RNAcentral lists this ribosomal RNA (528 nucleotides) under uncultured bacterium. RNAcentral describes it as "bacterial SSU rRNA". It matches the Rfam family "Bacterial small subunit ribosomal RNA", at positions 8 to 531 of the family's 1533-position model. The record is from RNAcentral.
AGAGUUUGAUCAUGGCUCAGAUUGAACGCUGGCGGAAUGCUUUACACAUGCAAGUCGAGCGGCAGCGCGGGGGCAACCCUGGCGGCGAGCGGCGAACGGGUGAGUAAUGUAUCGGAACGUACCUCGUCGUGGGGGAUAACGCACCGAAAGGUGUGCUAAUACCGCGUACGUCCUGAGGGAGAAAGCGGGGGAUCGCAAGACCUCGCGCGAUGAGAGCGGCCGAUAUCUGAUUAGCUAGUUGGUGGGGUAAAGGCCUACCAAGGCGACGAUCAGUAGCUGGUCUGAGAGGACGACCAGCCACACUGGGACUGAGACACGGCCCAGACUCCUACGGGAGGCAGCAGUGGGGAAUUUUGGACAAUGGGGGAAACCCUGAUCCAGCCAUUCUGCGUGAGUGAAGAAGGCCUUCGGGUUGUAAAGCUCUUUCAGCAGGAACGAAACGGUGCGGGCUAAUACCCUGCAUCACUGACGGUACCUGAAGAAGAAGCACCGGCUAACUACGUGCCAGCAGCCGCGGUAAUACGUAGG